RNAcentral lists this transfer RNA (70 nucleotides) under Dipodomys ordii (Ord's kangaroo rat). It matches the Rfam family "tRNA". From Rfam's summary of the family: Transfer RNA (tRNA) molecules are approximately 80 nucleotides in length. Their secondary structure includes four short double-helical elements and three loops (D, anti-codon, and T loops). Lineage: Eukaryota; Metazoa; Chordata; Mammalia; Rodentia; Heteromyidae. The record is from Rfam by way of RNAcentral.
GGGAAUGUGGCUUAGUGGUAGAAUGCUUGCCUUGCAUGCAUGAAGCCCUGGGUUUGAUUCCCCAGUACCA